UAGGGAAUCUUCGGCAAUGGGGGGAACCCUGACCGAGCAACGCCGCGUGAGUGAAGAAGGUUUUCGGAUCGUAAAGCUCUGUUGUUAAGGAAGAACGAGUGUGAGAAUGGAAAGUUCAUACUGUGACGGUACUUAACCAGAAAGGGACGGCUAACUACGUGCCAGCAGCCGCGGUAAUACGUAGGUCCCGAGCGUUGUCCGGAUUUAUUGGGCGUAAAGCGAUCGCAGGCGGUUAGAUAAGUCUGAAGUUAAAGGCAGUGGCUCAACCAUUGUAGGCCUUGGAAACUGUUUAACUUGAGUGCAGAAGGGGAGAGUGGAAUUCCAUGUGUAGCGGUGAAAUGCGUAGAUAUAUGGAGGAACACCGGUGGCGAAAGCGGCUCUCUGGUCUGUAACUGACGCUGAGGCUCGAAAGCGUGGGGAGCGAACAGG
RNAcentral lists this ribosomal RNA (429 nucleotides) under Bacteroidota bacterium. Its description in RNAcentral is "Bacteroidetes bacterium partial 16S ribosomal RNA". It matches the Rfam family "Bacterial small subunit ribosomal RNA", at positions 355 to 776 of the family's 1533-position model. The record is from RNAcentral. Lineage: Bacteria; Pseudomonadati; Bacteroidota.